Molecule: ribosomal RNA, 253 nt
Filed under: uncultured bacterium
Lineage: Bacteria
Description: partial 16S ribosomal RNA
Rfam family: Bacterial small subunit ribosomal RNA
Source: RNAcentral
UACGGAGGGAGCUAGCGUUGUUCGGAAUUACUGGGCGUAAAGCGCACGUAGGCGGCUUUGUAAGUUAGAGGUGAAAGCCUGGAGCUCAACUCCAGAAUAGCCUUUAAGACUGCAUCGCUUGAAUCCGGGAGAGGUGAGUGGAAUUCCGAGUGUAGAGGUGAAAUUCGUAGAUAUUCGGAAGAACACCAGUGGCGAAGGCGGCUCACUGGACCGGCAUUGACGCUGAGGUGCGAAAGCGUGGGGAGCAAACAGG